Molecule: long non-coding RNA, 1162 nt
Organism: Oryzias melastigma (Indian medaka)
Lineage: Eukaryota; Metazoa; Chordata; Actinopteri; Beloniformes; Adrianichthyidae
Exons: 2
Source: RefSeq, a predicted model, not a curated record
CAUCAUGAUCCAUCUAACACAAUGGUUAAUAGUGUGCAUCUACAUCCAUCCAUUUAUCUUCUUCCACUAAUUCGGCACCGAGUCGCGGGGGCAGCAGUCUAGGCAAAGAUGCCCAGACUUCCCACUCCCCGGCCACUUCCUCCAGCUCCUCUGGGGGAACUCCGAGGCGUUCACAGGACAGCCGAUAAACAUAGUCUCUCAAGCAUGUCCUGGGGCUUCCCAGUGGAACAUACCCGAAACACUUCCACAGGGAGAUGUCCAGGAGGCACCCAGACCAGAUGCCCGAGCCAAAUCAACUGGCUCCUCUCGAUGUAGAGGAGCAGCGACUCUACUCUGAGCUCUCUCAAAGGUGACCGAGAUUCUCACCCUAUCUCUAAGUGGGCGCCCUGCCACCCUAUGGAGGAAACUCUUUUCGGCCACCUGUGUCCGGAAUCUCAUUUUUUCGGUCAUGACCAUAGCUGAGUACUGGAAUGAAGAUCGACUGGUAAAUUUGCCAUUUCUACCAAUCUUGCCCCUCCAGGUGCCUCCAGGAUAAUGGAGUCCCCCGUUUGGGCAGAGAUACCAAGAAGGCCGGGUACACCAAACUGUUGUUUGGUCCGUAGGCUGAAACGACAGCCAGAGACCUAUACCCCACCUGAAGGCGAAGGGAUGUGAUCCUCUCGUCCACCGAGUUUAACUCCAACACUUGGCAACUGAGCUAGGGGGUCACAAGAAAGCCCACAUUGGCCCGCCACCUCUCACCAUGUGGAACUCCAAAAUGGUUGAGUCCAACCCCUCUUGAGGGACUGAGUUUCAGAGCCCAGACCGUGCAUGGAGCAGGUGGUGGGCCCAUGGGACAGUGAUCCCACAGGACAGUGAUCCCACGAGACAGUGAUCCUACGUCAUUCCUUCAGGCUGAACCUGGUCGGAACCCUGGUCACCAGGCUCUUGCCUGCGAGCCCCAUCUCCAGGGCUUGACUCCAGAGUGGGGCCCUAGUAACACCAGUCUGGGUGAUGUCACAGAAUCUUUGUUUGAAUUUCUCAUGAAGGGGUUUUGAUGAAGUAGUUCUUUUAACUGUUAAUUGGUUUUAGACUUGCAUGCUCUUCAUUUUUAACUCAACUGAUGACACCUUUGAGUAAAAAACAUUCAUUUCUAAACACACUUGUACUUACUUUAAAAAAA